GAAAUGCGAUAAGUAAUGUGAAUUGCAGAAUUCAGUGAAUCAUCGAAUCUUUGAACGCACCUUGCGCUCCUUGGUAUUCCUUGGAGCAUGCCUGUUUGAGUAUCAUGAAAUCUUCAAAGUAAAUCUUUUGUUAACUCAAUUGGUUUCUACUUUGGUAUUGGAGGUCUUUGCAGCUUCACACCUGCUCCUCUUUGUUCAUUAGCUGGAUCUCAGUGUUAUGCUUGGUUCCACUCGGCGUGAUAAGUUAUCUAUCGCUGAGGACACCGUAAAAGGUGGCCAAGGUAAAUGCAGAUGAACCGCUUCUAAUAGUCCAUUGACUUGGACAAUACUUUUAUGAUCUGAUCUGAAAUCAGGUAGGACUACCCGCUGAACUUAAGC
RNAcentral lists this unclassified non-coding RNA (378 nucleotides) under plant metagenome. Its description in RNAcentral is "partial contains 5.8S ribosomal RNA, internal transcribed spacer 2, and large subunit ribosomal RNA". The stretch from base 1 to 105 matches the Rfam family "5.8S ribosomal RNA", at positions 50 to 154 of the family's 154-position model. The record is from RNAcentral.